Unclassified non-coding RNA from Cercocebus atys (sooty mangabey), 109 nucleotides. It matches the Rfam family "Y RNA". From Rfam's summary of the family: Y RNAs are components of the Ro ribonucleoprotein particle (Ro RNP), in association with Ro60 and La proteins. The Y RNAs and Ro60 and La proteins are well conserved, but the function of the Ro RNP is not known. In humans the RNA component can be one of four small RNAs -- hY1, hY3, hY4 and hY5. NCBI's taxonomy places the organism in Eukaryota, Metazoa, Chordata, Mammalia, Primates, Cercopithecidae. The record is from Ensembl.
GACUGGUCUGAAGGCACUGAGUUAUCUCAAUUGUGCACAGUCAGUUACAGAUGGAACUCCUUGUUCUACUCUUUCCCUGCUUCUUACUACUGCACUUGACUAGUCUUAA